CGGCCGGGCGGAGGGAAAUGAAGCGGACACAUGGUCCGCCCCAUCCCUCCGCCCUGGAGGGGCCGAAGAUGAAGGGAGCUGAGGGGGCCCUCUCGGCCCACGCAGAACCAUAGAACACUUCACUGGAUGCUGUUCCUUGCCCUUGGACUUGCUGCCAACAAAAGAAAGAGCCAUCUAGAUACCACAUAGCAGUAUCAGCAGAAGGUUCAGACAGUGGUUCUAUUCACGCUGGUGGGCUAUGCCUUUAUAUCUGUCACAGAUACAUGGUUUGGAACAAAAGGGAAGAUGGAAGAAGAAGAAUGGCUGCUAUCCAUUUCUAAAGUCAGGUUCAUGGAGGCAAGGCAUAGUAAGGGAUGUUUUCUGAGGCACUUUUUCCCCCUACUGGCGUGACUGAAAGCAGUAACACUGAUUUCAACAGUGUUCAACAAUGCUCAACAGAGGACCAUCUUCUCAUGACCAUAUGCCUGAAAGGAACCACCCUUCCAGCACAAAUGAGAGAGAAGAUAAUCUAAGGCUUUCGCAAGUUGAUCCGCCUCCUACAAACCAAGAGAAUAGGUUAAUUCCAGACUUUGGACUCACGGCUUCCUGACUCAUAAAUUGAUUUUUAGAACAAACAUACAAUUGCUGUAUCAUGAGGUGAAAUUGCUACAUAAGUCAUGAUAGUGGAAGCAUGGCAUAAUGGCUAAUUCUGAGUAACUGUGACAUAGGAAACUAUUGGUUCAGAGCUCACCUCUGGUGUCAGCUCAUGGGUGUGUGGCCUUAGGCAAGGCACUAUGCUUCAGUCUUCCAGUUGCAAUGGGCAGAUAAUAAUACUGACCAACUUUACAGGAUUAUUGUAAAGAUUUUGAAUAAUGUAUGCAUAGAGUUUUGAAAAGACAUUAGUAAUGUAUUUGUAGCCUCUUCCAAAAGCAAAUGAGGUCUCCCACUGAAACCCAUUUGAACAUGGCUUUGAUGGCUUCAUUUGGUAAAUUUUGGCAAGUGUAUUUAGAAUAUAUAUUCAAUAUAAGCAGUUUAAUUUAAGACCAAUAUACUUUAAAGCUGAAAUAGAAUACUUGAGACUUAUAAAAUAAGAAAUGGAAGUAAGGUAACAAAUUGCUGCAUAUAACUAUUUGGCUGGGAAUGCAGGGAAGGGUGAUGUG
This is a non-coding RNA of Podarcis muralis (Common wall lizard), 1139 nucleotides long. The record is from RefSeq and is a predicted model, not a curated record. NCBI's taxonomy places the organism in Eukaryota, Metazoa, Chordata, Lepidosauria, Squamata, Lacertidae.